RNAcentral lists this transfer RNA (74 nucleotides) under Gloeobacter violaceus SpSt-379. Its description in RNAcentral is "tRNA-Leu". It matches the Rfam family "tRNA". Rfam says of the family: Transfer RNA (tRNA) molecules are approximately 80 nucleotides in length. Their secondary structure includes four short double-helical elements and three loops (D, anti-codon, and T loops). Lineage: Bacteria; Bacillati; Cyanobacteriota; Cyanophyceae; Gloeobacterales; Gloeobacteraceae. The record is from RNAcentral.
ACUCCGAUAGCCCAACUGGCAGAGGCCACCGCCUCAGAAGCGGUGCAGUCCGGGUUCGAAUCCCGGUCGGAGUA